UCAUCAUCUGAGGCAGCAAUUUCUCCAUUUUGUGUAUGGGCCCGCUUCGUUGCUUUCUUAUAACUAUUGAUCACAUGGGUGCAGAACCUUUCACAGCUUCAUGAAUUCUUUCUUUACCUUUCAAAAUCGUUGACACAGUCGAGUGUGAUAACUUCGUAUCAUGUGCAAUCACAUUCACUUUCUUUCCUCCUUCGUACUGCU
This is a long non-coding RNA of Sapajus apella (tufted capuchin), 201 nucleotides long. RefSeq lists it as uncharacterized. NCBI's taxonomy places the organism in Eukaryota, Metazoa, Chordata, Mammalia, Primates, Cebidae. The transcript has 3 exons. The record is from RefSeq and is a predicted model, not a curated record.